AACGAACGCUGGCGGCAUGCUUAACACAUGCAAGUCGAACGAGACCUUCCGGUCUUGUUGCGGACGUGGGCGUACCGCGGGGGAACCUGCCCUUAGGUUCGGAAUACCUCCCCGUAAGGGGUGCUAAUACCGGUGAAUCUCUUCGGACCAAAGAUUUAUCGCCUUUGGAUGGGCCCGGGUUGGAUUAGCUGGUUGGUAGGGUCAAACCCUAUCAAGGCGUCGUUGCGUAGCUGGUCGGUGAGGAGGAUACGCCGCGCUGGGGCUGUGACACGGACCCGACUCCUACGGAAGAGAGCAGUAGGGAAUACAGGACGAUGAGCGAUAGUCUGAUCAAGCAGUGCCGCGUGAGUGAUGAAGGCCUUAGGGUUGUAAAGCUCUUUUACCCGGGAUGAUAAUGACAGUACCGGGAGAAUAAGCUCCGGCUAACUCCGUG
This 433-nucleotide ribosomal RNA is filed under the name uncultured bacterium. RNAcentral's name for it is "partial 16S ribosomal RNA". It matches the Rfam family "Bacterial small subunit ribosomal RNA", at positions 29 to 507 of the family's 1533-position model. The record is from RNAcentral.